Molecule: ribosomal RNA, 498 nt
Filed under: uncultured Glomeromycotina
Lineage: Eukaryota; Fungi; Glomeromycota
Description: partial small subunit ribosomal RNA
Rfam family: Eukaryotic small subunit ribosomal RNA
Source: RNAcentral
CCAAUAGCGUAUAUUAAAGUUGUUGCAGUUAAAAAGCUCGUAGUUGAAUUUCGGGGUUCUACCGUUGGUCGGGCUAACCAGUCUGUACUAGCGUGUAGAAUUCCUACCUUCUGGAGAACCAUCAUGUUAUUAAUUUAGCGUGGUGGGAAACCAGGACCUUUACCUUGAAAAAAUUAGAGUGUUUAACGAAGGCUUACGUAUGAAUACAUUAGCAUGGAAUAAUAGACUAGGACGGUGGUCCUGUUUUGUUGGUUUCUAAAUCACCGAAAUUAUUAAUAGGGAUAGUUGGAGGCAUUAGUAUUCAAUUGUCAGAGGUGAAAUUCUUGUAUUUAUUGAAGACUAACUUCUGCGAAAGCAUUUGCCAAGGAUGUUUUCAUUAAUCAAGAACGAAAGUUAGGUGAUCGAAGACGAUCAGAUACCGUCGUAGUCUUAACCAUAAACUAUGCCGACUAGGGAGCGGACGAUGUUAAAUUUUAUUGACUCGUUCGGCGCCUUACG